AACGAACGCUGGCGGCAUGCCUUACACAUGCAAGUCGAACGGCAGCGCGGGCAACCUGGCGGCGAGUGGCGAACGGGUGAGUAAUAUAUCGGAACAUACCCUAGAGUGGGGGAUAACGUAGCGAAAGUUACGCUAAUACCGCAUACGCACUAAGGUGGAAAGUGGGGGAUCUUCGGACCUCAUGCUCAUGGAGUGGCCGAUAUCUGAUUAGCUAGUUGGUGAGGUAAAGGCUCACCAAGGCGACGAUCAGUAGCUGGUUUGAGAGAACGACCAGCCACACUGGAACUGAGACACGGUCCAGACUCCUACGGGAGGCAGCAGUGGGGAAUUUUGGACAAUGGGGGGCAACCCUGAUCCAGCAAUGCCGCGUGAGUGAAGAAGGCCUCGGUUGUAAGACUCUUUUCGUUCAGGGAAGGAAACGGUAGGAGUUCUAAUAAAGACUUGUCUAAUGACGGUACCUGAAGAAUAA
RNAcentral lists this ribosomal RNA (469 nucleotides) under uncultured bacterium. RNAcentral's name for it is "bacterial SSU rRNA". It matches the Rfam family "Bacterial small subunit ribosomal RNA", at positions 29 to 489 of the family's 1533-position model. The record is from RNAcentral.